RNAcentral lists this ribosomal RNA (469 nucleotides) under uncultured bacterium. Its description in RNAcentral is "bacterial SSU rRNA". It matches the Rfam family "Bacterial small subunit ribosomal RNA", at positions 28 to 507 of the family's 1533-position model. The record is from RNAcentral.
GAUGAACGCUAGCGGCAGGCUUAAUACAUGCAAGUCGAACGACAGCAAUGUUAGUGGCGCACGGGUGCGUAACGCGUAUGCAACUUGCCUAGUGUGGGGGAUAACGUUCGGAAACGGACGCUAAUACCGCAUACGUCCUACGGGAGAAAGCGGGGGAUCUUCGGACCUCGCGCCAUUAGAUGAGCCUAGGUCGGAUUAGCUAGUUGGUGAGGUAAUGGCUCACCAAGGCGACGAUCCGUAACUGGUCUGAGAGGAUGAUCAGUCACACUGGAACUGAGACACGGUCCAGACUCCUACGGGAGGCAGCAGUGGGGAAUAUUGGACAAUGGGCGAAAGCCUGAUCCAGCCAUGCCGCGUGUGUGAAGAAGGUCUUCGGAUUGUAAAGCACUUUAAGUUGGGAGGAAGGGCAGUAACCUAAUACGUUAUUGUUUUGACGUUACCGACAGAAUAAGCACCGGCUAACUUCGUG